This 240-nucleotide unclassified non-coding RNA is filed under the name soil metagenome. RNAcentral's name for it is "partial contains 5.8S ribosomal RNA, internal transcribed spacer 2, and large subunit ribosomal RNA". The record is from RNAcentral.
AACUGAUACUACCUGCGGGAACCUGCGGAAGGAUCAUUAUCGAGUUUUGACUGGGUUGUAGCUGGCCUUACGAGGCAUGUGCACGCCCUGUUAAUCCACUCUACACCUGUGCACUUACUGUGGGUUUCAGAUCGUGAAUUGGGCCUACGGGCUCGUGAAACGCAUCUGUGCCUGCGUUUAUUACAAACACUGUAAAGUAUCAGAAUGUGUGGGUUGCGAUGUAACGCAUCUAUAUACAAC